RNAcentral lists this long non-coding RNA (524 nucleotides) under Hordeum vulgare. Its description in RNAcentral is "long non-coding RNA (HVUL_LNC012409)". Lineage: Eukaryota; Viridiplantae; Streptophyta; Magnoliopsida; Poales; Poaceae. The record is from RNAcentral.
UCUUUAUGUGAUCACCACACUCAUCUCUCUCUUCUUAAUUACGUUGCCACAUUAAUUUUUUUCCCUAUAUGAUAGUCUUAGUACAUGUAUAAAAUGGAGCAUUGAGAAAGACCUAACGAAUCAUCACACAAGCAGAAGUAGGUGAUGUUGACGGUGGACUCAUUAUAUAUAAGUUCUUACACGAUUUGUUAAUAUAAAAUUAAUGUCAGCGACAUUAGCACACAUAUAGUCUUAAGCAAGCUACAGUAGAACUCAAUCAGCAUAUAUAUCUUGUAUUCCACGGCUUUUGGUGGAUCAUGGAUGACGAGGGUUUUCCUCCUCGGUUCACAUUGACAACGUGGAUCCAACAAGUUCACAUUUACUCGGGGUCUAUGCAUGGCGGUGGUCAUGUCCUUUCCCUUGACAUGAUCGGCUGCCACACGCAAGGAUAUGUGAGUUAGAGCAACUCUAGCAGACCCGCAUCCAUCUCAGAUUCGUAAAAUAACCAUCAAAAUACGGAUACGGACCGGAAAGCAUGUCCGAUC